GAUGAACGCUGGCGGCGUGCCUAAUACAUGCAAGUCGAGCGAACGGACGAGAAGCUUGCUUCUCUGAUGUUAGCGGCGGACGGGUGAGUAACACGUGGAUAACCUACCUAUAAGACUGGGAUAACUUCGGGAAACCGUAGCUAAUACCGGAUAAUAUUUUGAACCGCAUGGUUCAAAAGUGAAAGACGGUCUUGCUGUCACUUAUAGAUGGAUCCGCGCUGCAUUAGCUAGUUGGUAAGGUAACGGCUUACCAAGGCAACGAUGCAUAGCCGACCUGAGAGGGUGAUCGGCCACACUGGAACUGAGACACGGUCCAGACUCCUACGGGAGGCAGCAGUAGGGAAUCUUCCGCAAUGGGCGAAAGCCUGACGGAGCAACGCCGCGUGAGUGAUGAAGGUCUUCGGAUCGUAAAACUCUGUUAUUAGGGAAGAAAAUAUGUGUAAGUAACUGUGCACAUCUUGACGGUACCUAAUCAGAAAGCCACGGCUAACUACGUG
RNAcentral lists this ribosomal RNA (497 nucleotides) under uncultured bacterium. RNAcentral's name for it is "partial 16S ribosomal RNA". It matches the Rfam family "Bacterial small subunit ribosomal RNA", at positions 28 to 507 of the family's 1533-position model. The record is from RNAcentral.